CCCUUAGAUGUUCUGGGCCGCACGCGCGCUACACUGUUUGAUUCAGCGAGUCUUAACCUUGACCGAAAGGUUUGGGUAAUCUUCUAAAGUCAAACGUGAUGGGGAUCGAUCAUUGCAAUUAUUGAUCGUGAACGAGGAAUUCCUAGUAAGCACAAGUCAUCAGCUUGUGUUGAUUACGUCCCUGCCCUUUGUACACACCGCCCGUCGCUCCUACCGAUUGAAUGUUCCGGUGAGCUCUUCGGACUGCGCGGUCUGCAGUUUCUGCGUUCCGUGCGGAAAGUUGCGCAAACCUUAACAUUUAGAGGAAGGAGAAGUCGUAACA
Molecule: ribosomal RNA, 322 nt
Filed under: uncultured eukaryote
Lineage: Eukaryota
Description: partial 18S ribosomal RNA
Rfam family: Eukaryotic small subunit ribosomal RNA
Source: RNAcentral